This 482-nucleotide ribosomal RNA is filed under the name uncultured bacterium. Its description in RNAcentral is "partial 16S ribosomal RNA". It matches the Rfam family "Bacterial small subunit ribosomal RNA", at positions 30 to 506 of the family's 1533-position model. The record is from RNAcentral.
UUGAACGCUGGCGGCAGGCCUAACACAUGCAAGUCGAGCGGAUGAAGGGAGCUUGCUCCUGGAUUCAGCGGCGGACGGGUGAGUAAUGCCUAGGAAUCUGCCUGGUAGUGGGGGAUAACGUCCGGAAACGGGCGCUAAUACCGCAUACGUCCUGAGGGAGAAAGUGGGGGAUCUUCGGACCUCACGCUAUCAGAUGAGCCUAGGUCGGAUUAGCUAGUUGGUGGGGUAAAGGCCUACCAAGGCGACGAUCCGUAACUGGUCUGAGAGGAUGAUCAGUCACACUGGAACUGAGACACGGUCCAGACUCCUACGGGAGGCAGCAGUGGGGAAUAUUGGACAAUGGGCGAAAGCCUGAUCCAGCCAUGCCGCGUGUGUGAAGAAGGUCUUCGGAUUGUAAAGCACUUUAAGUUGGGAGGAAGGGCAGUAAGUUAAUACCUUGCUGUUUUGACGUUACCAACAGAAUAAGCACCGGCGAACUUCGU